RNAcentral lists this ribosomal RNA (253 nucleotides) under uncultured bacterium. RNAcentral's name for it is "partial 16S ribosomal RNA". It matches the Rfam family "Bacterial small subunit ribosomal RNA", at positions 524 to 776 of the family's 1533-position model. The record is from RNAcentral.
UACGUAGGGAGCAAGCGUUGUCCGGAAUCAUUGGGCGUAAAGCGCGCGUAGGCGGCCCUGUAAGUCCGUUGUGAAAGUCAAAGGCUCAACCUUUGAAAGCCGAUGGAUACUGCAGGGCUAGAGUCCGGAAGAGGCGAGUGGAAUUCCCGGCGUAGCAGUGAAAUGCGUAGAGAUCGGGAGGAACAUCAGUUGCGAAGGCGGCUCUCUGGACCAGCACUGACACUGAGGCACGAAAGCGUGGGGAGCAAACAGG